Molecule: ribosomal RNA, 230 nt
Filed under: uncultured bacterium
Lineage: Bacteria
Description: partial 16S ribosomal RNA
Rfam family: Bacterial small subunit ribosomal RNA
Source: RNAcentral
AGAGUUUGAUCAUGGCUCAGGAUGAACGCUAGCUACAGGCUUAACACAUGCAAGUCGAGGGGCAGCAUGGUCUUAGCUUGCUAAGGCCGAUGGCGACCGGCGCACGGGUGAGUAACACGUAUCCCAACCUGCCGUCGUACUCUUGGACAGCCUUCUGAAAGGAAGAUUAAGUACAAGAUGGCAUCAUGAAGUCCGCAUGUUCACAUGAUUAAAGGUAUUCCGGUAGACGA